GGAUUAGAUACCCUGGUAGUCCACGCCCUAAACGAUGUGAACUUGACGUCGGGAAGUUUUCUUUUCGGUGUCGGAGCUAACGCAUUAAGUUCACCGCCUGGGGAGUACGGCCGCAAGGUUAAAACUCAAAGGAAUUGACGGGGACCCGCACAAGCGGUGGAGUAUGUGGUUUAAUUCGUCGCAACGCGAAGAACCUUACCAGGACUUGACAUCCUAAUCGCGAGGACCAGAGAUGGACCUUUUCAGUUCGGCUGGAUUAGUGACAGGUGCUGCAUGGCUGUCGUCAGCUCGUGCUG
RNAcentral lists this ribosomal RNA (296 nucleotides) under uncultured bacterium. RNAcentral's name for it is "partial 16S ribosomal RNA". It matches the Rfam family "Bacterial small subunit ribosomal RNA", at positions 775 to 1067 of the family's 1533-position model. The record is from RNAcentral.